GACGAACGCUGGCGGCGUGCUUAACACAUGCAAGUCGAACGGAAAGGCCCUGCUUUUGUGGGGUGCUCGAGUGGCGAACGGGUGAGUAACACGUGAGUAACCUGCCCUUGACUUUGGGAUAACUUCAGGAAACUGGGGCUAAUACCAGAUAGGAGCUCCUGCUGCAUGGUGGGGGUUGGAAAGUUUCGGCGGUUGGGGAUGGACUCGCGGCUUAUCAGCUUGUUGGUGGGGUAGUGGCUUACCAAGGCUUUGACGGGUAGCCGGCCUGAGAGGGUGACCGGCCACAUUGGGACUGAGAUACGGCCCAGACUCCUACGGGAGGCAGCAGUGGGGAAUAUUGCACAAUGGGCGGAAGCCUGAUGCAGCAACGCCGCGUGCGGGAUGACGGCCUUCGGGUUGUAAACCGCUUUCGCCCGUGACGAAGCGUGAGUGACGGUAAUGGGUAAAGAAGCACCGGCUAACUACGUGCCAGCAGCCGCGGUGAUACGUAGGGUGCGAGCGUUGUCCGGAUUUAUUGGGCGUAAAGGGCUCGUAGGUGGUUGAUCGCGUCGGAAGUGUAAUCUUGGGGCUUAACCCUGAGCGUGCUUUCGAUACGGGUUGACUUGAGGAAUUUAGGGGAGAAUGGAAUUCCUGGUGGAGCGGUGGAAUGCGCAGAUAUCAGGAGGAACACCAGUGGCGAAGGCGGUUCUCUGGGCCUUUCCUGACGCUGAGGAGCGAAAGCGUGGGGAGCGAACAGGCUUAGAUACCCUGGUAGUCCACGCUGUAAACGGUGGGUACUAGGUGUGGGGUCCAUUCCACGGGUUCCGUGCCGUAGCUAACGCUUUAAGUACCCCGCCUGGGGAGUACGGCCGCAAGGCUAAAACUCAAAGGAAUUGACGGGGCCCCGCACAAGCGGCGGAGCAUGCGGAUUAAUUCGAUGCAACGCGUAGAACCUUACCUGGGUUUGACAUGGAUCGGGAGUGCUCAGAGAUGGGUGUGCCUCUUUUGGGGUCGGUUCACAGGUGGUGCAUGGCUGUCGUCAGCUCGUGUCGUGAGAUGUUGGGUUAAGUCCCGCAACGAGCGCAACCCUUGUUCACUGUUGCCAGCACGUUAUGGUGGGGACUCAGUGGAGACCGCCGGGGUCAACUCGGAGGAAGGUGGGGAUGACGUCAAGUCAUCAUGCCCCUUAUGUCCAGGGCUUCACGCAUGCUACAAUGGCUGGUACAGAGAGUGGCGAGCCUGUGAGGGUGAGCGAAUCUCGGAAAGCCGGUCUCAGUUCGGAUUGGGGUCUGCAACUCGACCUCAUGAAGUCGGAGUCGCUAGUAAUCGCAGAUCAGCAACGCUGCGGUGAAUACGUUCCCGGGGCU
This 1346-nucleotide ribosomal RNA is filed under the name uncultured bacterium. RNAcentral's name for it is "partial 16S ribosomal RNA". It matches the Rfam family "Bacterial small subunit ribosomal RNA", at positions 28 to 1381 of the family's 1533-position model. The record is from RNAcentral.